RNAcentral lists this non-coding RNA (22 nucleotides) under Rattus norvegicus (Norway rat). The record is from RNAcentral. Lineage: Eukaryota; Metazoa; Chordata; Mammalia; Rodentia; Muridae.
UUUUCCAGUAUUAGGUGGGGGG